GACGAACGCUGGCGGCGUGCCUAAUACAUGCAAGUUGAGCGCUGUAGGUUGGUACUUGUCCCAACUGGAUGAGCAGCGAACGGGUGAGUAACGCGUGGGGAAUCUGCCUUUGAGCGGGGGACAACAUUUGGAAACGAAUGCUAAUACCGCAUAAAAACUUUAAACACAAGUUUUAAGUUUGAAAGAUGCAAUUGCAUCACUCAAAGAUGAUCCCGCGUUGUAUUAGCUAGUUGGUGAGGUAAAGGCUCACCAAGGCGAUGAUACAUAGCCGACCUGAGAGGGUGAUCGGCCACAUUGGGACUGAGACACGGCCCAAACUCCUACGGGAGGCAGCAGUAGGGAAUCUUCGGCAAUGGACGAAAGUCUGACCGAGCAACGCCGCGUGAGUGAAGAAGGUUUUCGGAUCGUAAAACUCUGUUGGUAGAGAAGAACGUUGGUGAGAGUGGAAAGCUCAUCAAGUGACGGUAACUACCCAGAAAGGGACGGCUAACUACGUG
Molecule: ribosomal RNA, 497 nt
Filed under: uncultured bacterium
Lineage: Bacteria
Description: partial 16S ribosomal RNA
Rfam family: Bacterial small subunit ribosomal RNA
Source: RNAcentral